Molecule: transfer RNA, 75 nt
Filed under: Candidatus Woesearchaeota archaeon
Lineage: Archaea; Nanobdellati; Candidatus Woesearchaeota
Description: tRNA-Arg
Rfam family: tRNA
About the family: Transfer RNA (tRNA) molecules are approximately 80 nucleotides in length. Their secondary structure includes four short double-helical elements and three loops (D, anti-codon, and T loops). Further hydrogen bonds mediate the characteristic L-shaped molecular structure. tRNAs have two regions of fundamental functional importance: the anti-codon, which is responsible for specific mRNA codon recognition, and the 3' end, to which the tRNAs corresponding amino acid is attached (by aminoacyl-tRNA synthetases). tRNAs cope with the degeneracy of the genetic code in two manners: having more than one tRNA (with a specific anti-codon) for a particular amino acid; and 'wobble' base-pairing, i.e. permitting non-standard base-pairing at the 3rd anti-codon position.
Source: RNAcentral
GGACCCGUAGCGCAGCUUGGAUAGCGCAUCUGCCUUCUAAGCAGGAGGUCGUGGGUUCAAAUCCCACCGGGUCCG